UCAGAGCCCGUUAAUGGGUGAUGGCGUGCCUUUUGUAGAAUGAACCGGCGAGUUACGAUUUGAUGCAAGGUUAAGCAGUAAAUGUGGAGCCGUAGCGAAAGCGAGUCUGAAUAGGGCGUUUAGUAUUUGGUCGUAGACCCGAAACCAGGUGAUCUACCCUUGGUCAGGUUGAAGUUCAGGUAACACUGAAUGGAGGACCGAACCGACUUACGUUGAAAAGUGAGCGGAUGAACUGAGGGUAGCGGAGAAAUUCCAAUCGAACCUGGAGAUAGCUGGUUCUCUCCGAAAUAGCUUUAGGGCUAGCCUCAAGUGAUGAUUAUUGGAGGUAGAGCACUGUUUGGACGAGGGGCCCCUCUCGGGUUACCGAAUUCAGACAAACUCCGAAUGCCAAUUAAUUUAACUUGGGAGUCAGAACAUGGGUGAUAAGGUCCGUGUUCGAAAGGGAAACAGCCCAGACCACCAGCUAAGGUCCCAAAAUAUAUGUUAAGUGGAAAAGGAUGUGGCGUUGCCCAGACAACUAGGAUGUUGGCUUAGAAGCAGCCAUCAUUUAAAGAGUGCGUAAUAGCUCACUAGUCGAGUGACACUGCGCCGAAAAUGUACCGGGGCUAAACAUAUUACCGAAGCUGUGGAUUGUCCUUUGGACAAUGGUAGGAGAGCGUUCUAAGGGCGUUGAAGCAUGAUCGUAAGGACAUGUGGAGCGCUUAGAAGUGAGAAUGCCGGUGUGAGUAGCGAA
This 733-nucleotide ribosomal RNA is filed under the name Staphylococcus aureus. Its description in RNAcentral is "partial 23S ribosomal RNA". It matches the Rfam family "Bacterial large subunit ribosomal RNA", at positions 574 to 1313 of the family's 2925-position model. Lineage: Bacteria; Bacillati; Bacillota; Bacilli; Caryophanales; Staphylococcaceae. The record is from RNAcentral.